ACCCCUGUGGUGAAGUAUACUGUGU
Molecule: non-coding RNA, 25 nt
Filed under: Cricetulus griseus (Chinese hamster)
Lineage: Eukaryota; Metazoa; Chordata; Mammalia; Rodentia; Cricetidae
Source: RNAcentral